RNAcentral lists this ribosomal RNA (285 nucleotides) under Escherichia coli. RNAcentral describes it as "partial 23S ribosomal RNA". It matches the Rfam family "Bacterial large subunit ribosomal RNA", at positions 2663 to 2925 of the family's 2925-position model. Lineage: Bacteria; Pseudomonadati; Pseudomonadota; Gammaproteobacteria; Enterobacterales; Enterobacteriaceae. The record is from RNAcentral.
UGAGGGGGGCUGCUCCUAGUACGAGAGGACCGGAGUAGACGCAUCACUGGUGUUCGGGUUGUCAUGCCAAUGGCACUGCCCGGUAGCUAAAUGCGGAAGAGAUAAGUGCUGAAAGCAUCUAAGCACGAAACUUGCCCCGAGAUGAGUUCUCCCUGACUCCUUGAGAGUCCUGAAGGAACGUUGAAGACGACGACGUUGAUAGGCCGGGUGUGUAAGCGCAGCGAUGCGUUGAGCUAACCGGUACUAAUGAACCGUGAGGCUUAACCUUACAACGCCGAAGCUGUU